Molecule: ribosomal RNA, 497 nt
Filed under: uncultured bacterium
Lineage: Bacteria
Description: partial 16S ribosomal RNA
Rfam family: Bacterial small subunit ribosomal RNA
Source: RNAcentral
GAUGAACGCUGGCGGCGUGCCUAAUACAUGCAAGUCGAGCGAACAGACGAGGAGCUUACUCCUCUGACGUUAGCGGCGGACGGGUGAGUAACACGUGGAUAACCUACCUAUAAGACUGGGAUAACUUCGGGAAACCGGAGCUAAUACCGGAUAACAUGUUGAACCGCAUGGUUCAACAGUGAAAGACGGUCUUGCUGUCACUUAUAGAUGGAUCCGCGUCGCAAUAGCUAGUUGGUAAGGUAACGGCUUACCAAGGCAACGAUGCGUAGCCGACCUGAGAGGGUGAUCGGCCACACUGGAACUGAGACACGGUCCAGACUCCUACGGGAGGCAGCAGUAGGGAAUCUUCCGCAAUGGGCGAAAGCCUGACGGAGCAACGCCGCGUGAGUGAAGAAGGUCUUCGGAUCGUAAAACUCUGUUAUUAGGGAAGAACAAAUGUGUAAGUAACUAUGCACGUCUUGACGGUACCUAAUCAGAAAGCCACGGCUAACUACGUG